CAAAACCACUAGGGGUGUCAAAUCUUUGACUGAGAGAGGUUAUUCCUUAACUCUUAGAACCUGAUCUAGUUCAUUACUAGCGUAGGGAAGUGGUGUUAGAAGAUU
Molecule: non-coding RNA, 105 nt
Filed under: Bacillus sp. (in: firmicutes)
Lineage: Bacteria; Bacillati; Bacillota; Bacilli; Caryophanales; Bacillaceae
Description: Bacillus sp. TPP sequence
Rfam family: TPP riboswitch aptamer (THI element)
About the family: Vitamin B(1) in its active form thiamin pyrophosphate (TPP) is an essential coenzyme that is synthesised by coupling of pyrimidine and thiazole moieties in bacteria. The previously detected thiamin-regulatory element, thi box was extended, resulting in a new, highly conserved RNA secondary structure, the THI element, which is widely distributed in eubacteria and also occurs in some archaea.
Source: RNAcentral